UCGGGGAUGGGAGCGCCUAGGGACCCGAACCGAGUGCACCUGCUGCAGCCUGGCACUAGGGAUUUGAAAAUCCAUGGAGAUGGAAACCUAUGCCGAGGUUAGAAGACCUAGAUCCACUUUGCAGGAUUUUAAAUAUCCUUCAAGCCUCAGUGCCUGGCAGACUGGACUUCGGACUUCCAGCUCCGAUGCUGAAAAAGGAGUUGUUUUUUUUUUUUCCCCCACUUUGCUUCCUUCCUUGUUGAGGCUGAGAACAUACCGUGCUUUGGAGGGCCACCAUCUAGGGGUACUCGCUUCUCCAAACCUUGGAACCCGAGGUCUAGCCUUGGAAAGAGUUGCCGCCUUACCGUCUCUCCUCGCCUGGAGAAGCCCCAGCUAUGUGCGCUACUGCAGGGUCACAGUGCCGCGGUGGCGAGCUUCUUUCGUGGUCCCUGUCGCCGUCAGUUUCUUGAGAUUUCAGACUCUGGGCUUGGAAACCAGUUGACUGCCUUUCUUAGCGAGGUGCCAUCGGAAACCUGUGGAGGAAUGUUUGGAUUAUGAAUGCUCGCCGUGCCGAGUCCUCGAAGCUGUGUGACAGAGGUGGAGCACCUGGAAUGCACAGAGAACCAGGUUCCCUUUGGAAAAUAUUUACUCUCUUCCACCAGCCCAAACCUGAAGGUACCAUCAGUAUGUGAGGCCUACAACAGGGUUCUCUGUUUUCCUGUAGCCAGCCUCUCUGAUGCCCCCAACAAUGUAUUUGAAAAGCA
RNAcentral lists this long non-coding RNA (743 nucleotides) under Mus caroli (Ryukyu mouse). Its description in RNAcentral is "lncRNA (MGP_CAROLIEiJ_G0006650.1)". Lineage: Eukaryota; Metazoa; Chordata; Mammalia; Rodentia; Muridae. The record is from RNAcentral.